UACGUAGGUGACAAGCGUUGUCCGGAUUUACUGGGCGUAAAGAGCGCGCAGGCGGUCGUUCAAGUCGCGUGUGAAAGCCCCCGGCUCAACUGGGGAGGGUCACGCGAUACUGAUCGACUCGAAGGCAGGAGAGGGAAGUGGAAUUCCCGGUGUAGUGGUGAAAUGCGUAGAUAUCGGGAGGAACACCGGUGGCGAAGGCGGCAUCCUGGACCAAUAUUGACGCUGAGGAGCGAAAGCCAGGGGAGCAAACGGG
RNAcentral lists this ribosomal RNA (253 nucleotides) under uncultured bacterium. Its description in RNAcentral is "partial 16S ribosomal RNA". It matches the Rfam family "Bacterial small subunit ribosomal RNA", at positions 524 to 776 of the family's 1533-position model. The record is from RNAcentral.